UUUAAGAUCCAUCUUCUAACCCACCUUUUUUUUUCUUUCUAUUUUUCCUUUUCUUCUCAUUUUCUAUAACAUUGACACAAACCCUUAAAAAUAACAACCAAGAACAAUCACCACCUCUCUCACAUACUUCAUCUUCUUCAUUAAUCAGUAAUUUUUCACUCUUAACUUCCUCACCUAAAAAAUAUUCAGGUUACUAUUGAUUCAUAUUUUUUAAAUAUUAGUAUGUAUUUUUAUUUAUUUUUCAAUAUAUUAUAUUUGUUUUGUGUUGAUCUGCAUUUAUUACUCAAAAACUCAUAUGAGUUAUUCAGAUUCUUGCUGAUCUCUUUGUAUUUAAGGGAAACGGGUGAAAAAGAUUAUUUUUUUAGUUAUCUUGAACUAAUCAAAGCAACGCCUUUUUAGCGGUGUGCGAUUUCGCGGUGGUAGAUCUGUUGUGGCGGCAACGUAUUUUCAACGGCAAUCGCGGUGGUGGUCAAAUUUGAAAGAUUAAGCAUUUGAAGAUUUGUGAAAAUGAGAUUUGUGGAGCUUUAGUAUGUUGCUUCAUUGCCGGUAGUUAAAGUGUUAUUGAUAACUGCACUUGAAUUGUUUCUUGCAAUAUAUUACAUUGAUGUGUUGGGAGAAGAUGCAAGACGUAAACUGACUAACAUAAUUUACUGAAAAAUACUUUAAAAUUUGGUAUCUUUUUCUUUGGUUCAUGUCAGUCAAUGUUCUUAGCACAUUCAUAUUAGGUUCAACUUUAGCAUGGUUUAUGAUUAAAAUUACAAGGCCUCCAAAGCACUUGGAAGGUCUCAUUAGAUUGUUGUUCUGCAGGUAUACUUAUCCUCUACACAAACAAUGAAAUAUUACAGUUUCUUCUUUAUAGAUUUUAUAUGUUAGUUUUGCAUUUGGGAUGUAUAUAAUUUGUGUGCAGUUCCAAAUUUGAUACAUCUUUGAUUGAGCUAAUGAAUGAGAUCAAUGUGAACGGGAAAUUUAGGAAACUUGCCUAUAAUCAUUAUUCCAUCUAUGUGUAAAGAGAAAGGAAGUCCUUUUGGGGACCCUGGCCUCUAUCAUAAAUAUGGAAUGGCUUAUGUCUCACUUUCUAUAAUUCAGAUUAUAUCAUCUGUUUAUAGCAUGUGUUUUCUUAUUAUAUUCUUCUGGUAAUAAAAGAGAAUCUUGUGUUA
Molecule: long non-coding RNA, 1157 nt
Organism: Lathyrus oleraceus (garden pea)
Lineage: Eukaryota; Viridiplantae; Streptophyta; Magnoliopsida; Fabales; Fabaceae
Exons: 2
Source: RefSeq, a predicted model, not a curated record